AUCCCUAAUGGACCUUGAGAUGAGGAACACAGUUUUAUGACUCUCAUUAAAAAAUUAGUCCGCCAUACAAUUGUGGAAGCUGUGAUUUUAAAAAGUGACAUAAAUGAACUAGGACUGGUGUUUUAUAGAGCUGAUGUGAUGUGAAAAAAAGUAUAAAAAAAUAAACCUGAACAAAUAAUUACAAAGGACAUAUUUUUUAAUGAUUUUUAUGGUCAGAAUUUUGUGAUUAUUUCCUGAGGAGAGUGACAUUUUUCACUAUCUUUCGGGGUUGGGCACUUGACGGGAAAACGAAUCACACUUGCCACCCCGAAAAUCGCACCACACAUGUGCAAGUGUCUCAGCUUCAAAAUGAGCCAUCAUACAUAUCCAAGUUUACGAUAUGGCCUGAGCAACAGAAGAAAACGUUAACAUUACCGCCUAUGGAUAAUCUAUUACGCAUAUUGCCCCAAUUUGUGGCCUUGAAUUUCAAAGGUGAUGGAGUGUUUCAUGGCUCAGUGACCACAAUUUAGGAUGAUAGCUGCUGAAAUCAAGAUAUGGCUAAAACUUCACAGAAUUGUUCAGAAAUGUGUACUAAAGGGAUACAAACUGCAAUAUAAGUGGAAUCUGACAUUAGCUGAUCUAAUAUGGGUCAAUAUCCCUAAUGGACCUUGAGAUGAGGAACACAGAUUUAUGACUCUCAUUAAAAAAUUAGUCCGCCAUACAAUUGUGGAAGCUGUGAUUUUAAAAAUUGACAUAAAUGAACUAGGACUGGUGUUUUAUAGAGCUGAUGUGAUGUGAAAAAAAGUAUAAAAAAAUAAACCUGAACAAAUAAUUACAAA
This is a long non-coding RNA of Mytilus californianus (California mussel), 818 nucleotides long. RefSeq lists it as uncharacterized. Lineage: Eukaryota; Metazoa; Mollusca; Bivalvia; Mytilida; Mytilidae. The transcript is spliced from 2 exons. The record is from RefSeq and is a predicted model, not a curated record.